RNAcentral lists this small nuclear RNA (108 nucleotides) under Loxodonta africana (African savanna elephant). Lineage: Eukaryota; Metazoa; Chordata; Mammalia; Proboscidea; Elephantidae. The record is from RNAcentral.
GUGAAGUUACUGGGCUCACGUUCACCACAAGUCAACGUCCGUACAGAGAGGGUUAGCACGUCCCUGCACAAAGGUGACACGCAAAUUCGUGAAGUGAUCCAUAGUUUU